Molecule: unclassified non-coding RNA, 307 nt
Filed under: plant metagenome
Description: partial contains 5.8S ribosomal RNA, internal transcribed spacer 2, and large subunit ribosomal RNA
Rfam family: 5.8S ribosomal RNA (bases 1-105)
Source: RNAcentral
GAAAUGCGAUAAGUAAUGUGAAUUGCAGAAUUCAGUGAAUCAUCGAAUCUUUGAACGCACAUUGCGCCCGCCAGCACUCUGGCGGGCAUGCCUGUUCGAGCGUCAUUUCAACCCUCAGAACCCCUUGCGGGAUCUGGCGUUGGGGAUUGGCAUCCAGCCAGCCCCGAAAUCUAGUGGCGGUCCCUCCGCGACCUCCCCUGUGCAGUAGCGAUACCUCGCAGCGGGACAGCGGUCUGACCACGCCGUAAAACCCCCAACUUCUCAAGGUUGACCUCGAAUCAGGUAGGAACACCCGCUGAACUUAAGC